GAUCCCAAGCCUUCUGGCGAUCUCUUAAAAUAAAGCCCGGUCUGUUUCAAUAAACAGGAUGUUUAGACAUAUGUUUAAAUUCUACGGUUCUUAAAGACCAUAAAUUUAAAAAAGGCUUUAUGAAGAAAGCUCUUUAUGCUUUUCCAGUGAUUUAAGAUGAUACCGGGGAAGGUUUUCCGGUUUAUCCCGGAGGGCUUGUAGCUCAGUUGGUUAGAGCGCGCGCUUGAUAAGCGUGAGGUCGGAGGUUCAAGUCCUCCCAGGCCCACCAAUUUAUGCUCGUUUUUUGCUUAUCCAAGAGUAUGAAGCUUAAGCGUAUUAAAGCCUCUUUUAAUCUUUGUUUAUUUUAAAGAUUUAAUUUUAUCAUUCAAAGAUUGUUUGUUAAAUUUAUUCUAUUAAGUUUGUCAAAGGGGGAGUUUGUCAAAGGAGGUUUUUAAAUCCCUUCAUUUGAAAUUCCUUCAAGGUAUAGAGAAAUUUAAAUGAUGUAUAGAGAAAUUUAAAUGAUGCAAAUCAAAAUAGUACAAAUCAAAGUCGUAUAAAUGAUUCAAGUU
This 548-nucleotide transfer RNA is filed under the name uncultured Bartonella sp. Its description in RNAcentral is "partial 16S-23S ribosomal RNA intergenic spacer". The stretch from base 192 to 265 matches the Rfam family "tRNA". Lineage: Bacteria; Pseudomonadati; Pseudomonadota; Alphaproteobacteria; Hyphomicrobiales; Bartonellaceae. The record is from RNAcentral.